CGCGUAGGCGGCAGUGUAAGUCAGAUGUGAAAUACUCCGGCUCAACCAGAGAACAGCAUCUGAAACUGCACAGCUAGAGUACAGAAGAGGGAAACGGAAUUCCCGGUGUAGAGGUGAAAUUCGUAGAUAUCGGGAGGAACACCAGUGGCGAAGGCGGUUUCCUGGUCUGAUACUGACGCUGAGGCGCGAAAGCGUGGGGAGCAAACA
RNAcentral lists this ribosomal RNA (207 nucleotides) under uncultured bacterium. Its description in RNAcentral is "partial 16S ribosomal RNA". It matches the Rfam family "Bacterial small subunit ribosomal RNA", at positions 568 to 774 of the family's 1533-position model. The record is from RNAcentral.